Molecule: ribosomal RNA, 253 nt
Filed under: uncultured bacterium
Lineage: Bacteria
Description: partial 16S ribosomal RNA
Rfam family: Bacterial small subunit ribosomal RNA
Source: RNAcentral
UACGAGGGGGGCGAGCGUUGUUCGGAAUUAUUGGGCGUAAAGAGCGUGUAGGCGGCCAUACAGGUCAGCUGUGAAAACUCGAGGCUCAACCUCGAGACGUCGGUUGAAACCGUAUGGCUAGAGUCCGGAAGAGGAGAGUGGAAUUCCCGGUGUAGCGGUGAAAUGCGCAGAUAUCGGGAAGAACACCCGUGGCGAAGGCGGCUCUCUGGGACGGUACUGACGCUGAGACGCGAAAGCGUGGGGAGCGAACAGG